Molecule: RNA transcript, 2433 nt
Organism: Cynoglossus semilaevis (tongue sole)
Lineage: Eukaryota; Metazoa; Chordata; Actinopteri; Pleuronectiformes; Cynoglossidae
Gene: mbd3a
Gene name: methyl-CpG binding domain protein 3a
Exons: 8
Source: RefSeq, a predicted model, not a curated record
UUGUUACCUGUUAUGGGGUGUCUAGUUAGAUUGUUGGAUUGGAUUUUACUCAAACAAGCGGACAUGUGUACCUCCACAUGUUUUUAUUUUAUAAUAAAAAAGUAGGUAAGUUUGAAUUUAAGUGAAAAUGGCGCUAAUUAAUACAGUAAUUUAACAUCGACUUAUAAUAACAAAGAUGUAGUGUAUGUAUUAUUUAACGAGAUGGUCUAGAGCAGACUAUAAAGGGAGGCGAUUUGAAGAUUUUUUGUUUUGUUGCUGUGUGGCCAUUUAUCGUACUAGUCUACCGGAGUGUGGCGGAUGGAUCGGGGAUUGUGACGUAUUCGCUGGCGGAGUGAUCUGCCAAUGUAAACGUCCUGACAGCGGGAGUGAAAACAAACGCUGAAUUCAUGACUGACAUUAAAUACGUCGAACAGAGCCGCUGUCUGCUUAUUUUAUAACACCGCAGUGAAACAAAGGUGAAAUAAGACGGAGCAGGGACCAUGGACAGAAAAAGCAUUCCGGUUAAAUGUAUCUUGAACAAGCCUCAGAUAGUCCGCGGUCUGGGCAGCAACCUACACACAGACAUGAACGCCGGCCAUGCUAGACAAGGACGGUCACUGAUACAGAAAGUUCAAACCAACAGACAUAAGCAUCUCAACAACACCAAUCAUCAAAUCAGGGCCAAACCUGAUUUAAACACAACGCUACCGGUGCGACAGACGGCGUCUAUCUUCAAACAGCCAGUGACCAAGGUCACAAACCACCCCAACAACAAAGUGAAGACAGAUCCACAGAAGGCUGCGGAUCAACCCAAACAGCUGUUCUGGGAAAGGAAACUAAUCGGUUUAAAUGCCUUUGAUAUCGCAGAUGAGUUGGUCAAAACUAUGGAUCUUCCUAAAGGUUUACAGGGUGUCGGACCUGCGAGUUCAGAUAAGACCCUGCUUUCCUCCAUAGCCAGCGCUCUACACACCAGUCCUGUGCCCGUCACCGGACAACUCACCGCCGCAGUGGAGAAAAACCCCGGAGUCUGGCUCAACACAGCACAGCCGCUCUGCAAAGCCUUUGUGGUGACCGACGAUGACAUUAGGAAGCAGGAGGACCUGGUGCAGAACGUGAGAAGACGACUGGAGGAGGCCCUCAUGGCAGACAUGUUGGCCCACAUGGAGGACGCCUCUGCAGACACUGCAGCCAGUAAAGAAGGAGAAAGAGGUAACAAGGACGAGUUAUAGCUAAGGUUCGACUUUUGCCCCAUUUGUAUUUGUUGCAUCUCGACAUUCAACCACGUUAUCCAGAAAGGAUGUUUGACCUAUUUUUAUUUACCUGACGGUUACCAACGAUACUGACUGCAGUGUUUACAUUUGGUUGAGCAGAAACGAUGUUUUCGUGUGUGUUGUGUUAAACGUAAUGUUCAACAGUUGAAGUUUUUUAAAAAAAAAAAAAAAAAAAAAGAAAGAAAGAAAAAGCCGUUGCUGUUAUUUUUUAUGUUUUUACACUCUUUACUGUAGGUCGCAGUAUUCUUACGUGGUGCCCUCUGGUGGCUAUAAUUAAGAUGUUUAGUUUGUUUUUCAGUUGUUGGUGCUAUUGUUCCCUAACCAGAGUUUACCCAGUUUUAAGACUUAAGCUGUGGGUGGAGUUUGUUUUUCUCCCCCUCUGUUGUACCUUUCUCACUAAGGCUGUAUUAAAUUACUCCACCGUAAUGUGACACUGAUCCGUGAUGUUCGAUAGAAGAACCGCUGUUGCUGCUUCAUUCUGGCCAUGGGUUUAUUGACACACCGAGGUGAUAAUGACGAUUGUAUUUACAGCUGGUUUUUCAGGCUUAGUCCAAACAUAUUUGAUGUUUGAAAUGUCCUUUCCCAUUAAUAAAAUUCCACAGUUUACACAAUGGAGAAUUAUAUAUAUAAAAAAAGCAUUUAUUCUGUUUGGUUUUUCUGACAUGUUUUGUUUUAUCAAACAAAAAAAUGUUUAUUUCACUAAAACACGCCUUAGGUGUGGUACAGAAAUGUCACGGGCAACUGUUAUUCCCACUAAUUGCCCCAUGUAACAGCGCAGCGGAUGUUUUCCAACUCCAGCUAAGUCACACUGUCUUUUGUUUUUUGUUUUUUCUAUAAAUGCGUUCAAAGUAUAGUCAUGCUCAACCUAAACAAACAUAAAUUACUUUGUGUAUGUGUUACGUUGUAAAAUUGAUAUAAUUGCGGAGUACAAACAUCUUCACUCAUCCUCACUGUAGAACAGGAAGCCUUUAUAGCAGUUUCCAUUGUUCACUACAUUAAUAGUCUUCAGAGAAUCUGCAGAAUUCUGUCUUUAGGUAUGAGACAGUGACGUUCAACUAAACUGCACAGUUUGAAAUGGUUUGACUGGUGGAUCCUGCUGGUCCUCAUCCACGAGCAACUAUUUUAAAGCACCAAAUAGUCAUUUGUCGUGCAAAGUUCAACAGUGAUUACAAACAGAAAUAAC